AAAGCUCAAAUUUAAAAUCUGCCAGCCAUUGGCUGUCCGAGUUGUAAUCUAGAGAAGUGUUACCCAUGCUGGACCAUGUACAAGUCUCCUGGAAUGGAGCAUCACAGAGGGUGAGAAUCCCGUCUUUGACAUGGACUACCGGUGCUUUUGUGGUAUGCUCUCAAAGAGUCGAGUUGUUUGGGAAUGCAGCUCAAAAUGGGUGGUAAAUUCCAUCUAAAGCUAAAUAUUGGCGAGAGACCGAUAGCGAA
Molecule: ribosomal RNA, 248 nt
Filed under: Pseudosperma perlatum
Lineage: Eukaryota; Fungi; Basidiomycota; Agaricomycetes; Agaricales; Inocybaceae
Description: partial 28S ribosomal RNA
Rfam family: Eukaryotic large subunit ribosomal RNA
Source: RNAcentral